GGACUACCCGGGUUUCUAAUCCUGUUUGAUCCCCACACUUUCGUGCCUCAGCGUCAGUUACAGUCUAGUAAGCUGCCUUCGCAAUCGGUGUUCUUGACAAUAUCUAUGCAUUUCACCGCUACACUGUCAAUUCCGCCUACCUCGUCUGUACUCAAGUCUCCCAGUAUCAAUGGCAUUUCUCCAGUUAAGCUGGAGGCUUUCACCGCUGACUUAAAAGACCGCCUACGCACCCUUUAAACCCAAUAAAUCCGGACAACGCUUGCACCCUCCGUAUUACCGCGGCUGCUGGCAC
This 292-nucleotide ribosomal RNA is filed under the name uncultured Bacteroidota bacterium. RNAcentral's name for it is "uncultured Bacteroidetes bacterium partial 16S ribosomal RNA". The record is from RNAcentral. Lineage: Bacteria; Pseudomonadati; Bacteroidota.